This 495-nucleotide ribosomal RNA is filed under the name uncultured bacterium. RNAcentral's name for it is "partial 16S ribosomal RNA". It matches the Rfam family "Bacterial small subunit ribosomal RNA", at positions 28 to 507 of the family's 1533-position model. The record is from RNAcentral.
GACGAACGCUGGCGGCGUGCCUAAUACAUGCAAGUCGAACGCUGAAGGAGGAGCUUGCUUCUCUGGAUGAGUUGCGAACGGGUGAGUAACGCGUAGGUAACCUGCCUGGUAGCGGGGGAUAACUAUUGGAAACGAUAGCUAAUACCGCAUAAGAGUAGAUGUUGCAUGACAUUUGCUUAAAAGGUGCAAUUGCAUCACUACCAGAUGGACCUGCGUUGUAUUAGCUAGUUGGUGGGGUAACGGCUUACCAAGGCGACGAUACAUAGCCGACCUGAGAGGGUGAUCGGCCACACUGGGACUGAGACACGGCCCAGACUCCUACGGGAGGCAGCAGUAGGGAAUCUUCGGCAAUGGACGGAAGUCUGACCGAGCAACGCCGCGUGAGUGAAGAAGGGUUUCGGAUCGUAAAGCUCUGUUGUAAGAGAAGAAAGAGUGUGAGAGUGGAAAGUUCACACUGUGACGGUAGCCUAACAGAAAGGGACGGCUAACUACGUG